Long non-coding RNA from Drosophila montana, 334 nucleotides. RefSeq lists it as uncharacterized. The transcript has 3 exons. The record is from RefSeq and is a predicted model, not a curated record. Lineage: Eukaryota; Metazoa; Arthropoda; Insecta; Diptera; Drosophilidae.
UCCGAGCGAUGUUUUGUCAAGUUUACAGUGAUUCGUGAUCGCGCUAAAUAAAACCUGCUUUACUUCAAAGAAUUCACCUCUAAAACCCAUCAGAAACAUCUUCAGAUCUCUUCUGAACGCUGCUUCUUCUUGUUUUGCUGGGACACUUCCGCUAGACACUUUGAGGCGCACGCAAACGAAACCGAAAUGUGAUGCCGAACCCGUUAAGUGAACCGACGAUCGCUUGGGCAAAGCGCCAGCAGCCAACUGAGUGAGCCAAGGCGCAGCUCGGAGGGUUUUAUGGCGAACUUGACUUCAGCCGCGCACAGUGGGAAGAGUUACUAUAAAAUCGAAC